UACCAGCCGUCGCCACCAUGCCUCGGAUAGCCUCCUUCGCCAUCCGCCAUUGAUGGCCGAGGCAAGCUUCCUCUCCUCCUUCUUCUUCCUCCUUUUUCCUUUCUUCUUUCUUUUCUUUCUUUUUCUUAUCGCAACUUAGUCCCUACAUUCUUUAGUUACUAGCUAUUUCCCCUAGCAAAUUCUUGUUUAAUCCUCCACCUUUUCUUUAGUAUUUUAAUUAAGCCCCUAGCUACUUAUUUUGGGCCAAACUAAAAUUAUUAAAUAGAGAGUUACUUGUUUACCCUUGCUUUUAAUGGUAAUAUUACUAAAAUACCCCUGUCGACGUAUUUAAUUAUAAAAAUACCAACCAUAAAAAUUCUCACUUAAACCCCAUAUUAAUGCAACUAUACUUUUAACCUCUAUCUCAUAAUUAAUUGUCAAAUUAAUCCUAACACUUAAUUAACUUAAAUAAUCAAUUUGUUAACUAUUUUCUAAUUAAAUCUAGUACCAUUUGCUAAUUAAAAUUUUAUAUUUCCCCAAAUAAUUUCUUCAAGAUAAAUAUUUUUAUAGCCUCCAAUUAGGCAAAUUUAAUUAUACUUAUACAUACUAUGUAAAUACAAGGGUGAUACUUAUAAGAAGUAAAUCACAUUUUAUAUUAUUUGCUUAGCAAAUUCUUAUCUAAUUAAACUUAUUAAAUAUGGGUAAAUAAUUCCUUAAAUUUUUAUCUACAUUUAAAAUCCUUAUAAGUUAUUAUUAUUAUUAUUAUUAAUAAAAAUAAAAAUUUCGGGUAUUAUAUUUAAGAAUCAGCGGAUGAGUUGUGGUUACGGAUGAAAUGCCACUCAAACCUAGAGCUAGCUAGUUCUCCCCGAAAUGCAUUGAGGUGCAGCAGUUGACUGGACAUCUAAGGGUAAAGCACUAUUUUAGUGUUGGCCAUGAGAGCGAUACUAAAUUGAGGCAAACUCUGAAUACUAAUAUGGACCUCAAAAUAACAGGGGUCAAGGUCGGUCAGUGAGACGAUGAGAGAUAAGAUUCAUCGCCGAGAGGGAAACAGCUCGGAUCACCAGCUAAGGCCCUUAAUAAUCACUGUUUAGUGAUAAAGGAGGUAGGGGUGCAGAGACUGCCAGGAGGUUUGCUUAGAAGCAGCCACCCUUGAAAGAGUGCGUAAUAGCUCACUGAUCGAGCGCUCUUGCGCCAAAGAUGAAUGGGGCUAAGCGAUCUACUAAAGCUGUGGAAUGUAAAAAUGCAUCGGUAGGGGAGCGUUUCGCCUUAGAGGGAAGCACCCGCAUGAGCAGGGGUGGACAAAGUGGAAUCGAGAAUGUCGGCUUGAGUAACGCAAACAUUGGUGAGAAUCCAAUGCCCUGAAAACUUAAGUGUUCCUCCACAAGGUUUGUCCACGGAGGGUGGGUCAGGGCCUAAGAUCAGGCCGAAAGGCGUAGUCGAUGGAUAACAGGUGAAUAUUCCUGUACUACCCCUUGUUGGUCCCGAGGGACGAAGGAGGCUAGGUUAGUCGAAAGAUGGUUAUCGGUUCAAGGACGCACGACAUCCCUACUUUUUUAGGGUAAGAAGGGGUAGAGAAAAUACCUCGAGCUAAUGUUUGAGUACUAGGCGCUACAACGCUGAAGUAACCCAUGCCAUACUCCUAGGAAAAGCUCAAACAACCUUCAAUAAAAGGGUACCUGUACUCGAAACCGACACAGGUAGGUAGGUAAGAAGCGAGAGACAACUCUCUCUAAGGAACUUGGUAAAAUAGCCCCAUAACUUCGGGAGAAGGGGUGCCUCAUCACAAAGAGUGUCGCAGUGACUAGGCUCGGGCGACUGUUUACAAAAAACACAGGUCUCUACAAAGUCGUAAGACCAGCCCAGUGCUGGAAGGUCAAGGAAGUUGGUGACCUGAUAAUAGAGGAGCCGGCAACCGAAGCCCCAGUGAACAACGACCAUAACUAUAACGGUCCUAAGUAGAAAAAUUCCUUGUCGAGUAAGUUUUGAGCCGCACGAAAGGCGUAACAAUGUAGAUACUGUCUUGGAGAGAGGCUCGGUGAAAUAGACAUGUCUAUGAAGAUACGGACUACCUGUACCUAGACAAAAAGACCCUAUGAAGCUUCACUAUUCUCUGGGAUUGGCUUUGGGCCUUUCCUAUGCAGCUUAGGUGGAAGGCGAAGAAGGCCCCCUUCUAAAAGGUUUGAGCCAUCAUUGAGAUACCACUCUAGAAGAGCUAGAAUUCUAACUUUAUAUUAGGACCUACGGGCCAAGGGACAGUCUCAGGUAGACAGUUUUUAUGGGGCGUAGGCCUUCCAAAAGGUAACAGAGGCGUGCAAAGGUUUCCUUGGGUCGCAUAGAGAUUUGCCCUCGAGUGUAAAGGCAGAAGGGAGCUUGACUGCAAGACCCACCCGUCGAGCAAGGAUGAAAGUUGGCCUUAGUAAUCCAAUGGUACCGAGGGGAAAGGCCGUCGCUUAAUGAAUAAAAGUUUCUAGCGAUAACAGGCUGAUCUUCCCCAAGAGCUCAUAUCAACAGGAAGGUUUGGCACCUCGAUGUCGGCUCUUAGCCUCCUAAGGCUGUAGUAUGUUCUAAGGGUUGGGUUGUUCGCCCAUUAAAAUAGUACUUGAGUUGGGUUUAGAAUGUCGUUAGACAGUUCGCUCCAUAUCCGGCGUGGGCAUUAGAGCAUUAGGAGGACCUUUCCUUAGUAUAAGAGGACUAGGAAGGACACACCUCUGAUGUACUAGUUAUCAUGCCCAUAGUAAACGCUGGGUAGCCAAGCGCGGAGCGGAUAACUGCUGAAAGCAUCUAAGUAGUAAGCCCAUCCCAAGAUGAGUGUUGUCCUAUUACUUUCCUAGAACCUUCGGUAGCACAAUCGAGACAACUACGGGUUCUUUGCCCAUACGGGGGUAGAGUGAGAUAAGUUUUGAGAAUUCAAAAGAAGGUCACGGUGAGACGAGCUGUUUAUCAUUACUAUAGGUGUCAAGUGGAAGUGUAGUGAUGUAUGCAGCUAAGGCGUUCUAAUAGACCGGUAGACUUGAAC
RNAcentral lists this ribosomal RNA (2995 nucleotides) under Ricinus communis (castor bean). RNAcentral's name for it is "bacterial LSU rRNA". The stretch from base 621 to 2995 matches the Rfam family "Bacterial large subunit ribosomal RNA". The record is from RNAcentral. Lineage: Eukaryota; Viridiplantae; Streptophyta; Magnoliopsida; Malpighiales; Euphorbiaceae.